CCUGCUUCCCACAGACCAGCUAGGAAACUACUGAGCGCCUGUGUUUGAAUGAUGCCCACCUGUGAAUACUGACUCCGGUGUCUUUUUCAGAGUCUAGUUCCCCGGGUUUCUACGGGGCAGCCCUGAGCCCAGCCUGCUCUCAAGGCUAAGUGCUUGACUGUCCCUCGCAGCUUCCCUUAGGACCCCUCCUCUUCCUCCUUAGGUGUGUUACUGAGGCAGGCUGUCAGAGGCACCAGACACAGGCUUCGUUAUACCUGGCUUUUGAUUUUGAAGGUUGUGAAGAACAAAAGCUGGUAAUGUUCCUGUGACACUCAAGAAAACCUUAUUCUCACUCCUGGCUGUAUGAUCACAAGAAAUGAGUAAGUGUAUACACGAGGACCUUAUUAGGUGACAUCACAAGUAUCAAAAGUGCACUUCUAGUGGGCAGCGGCUGGGCUCAGUGGCAGAGCGCUUGCCUAGCACGCAUGAGGCACUGGGUUGGAUCCUCAUCACCGCAAAAAGGAAACAAAUAAAGGCAUCCUGUUCAUCCACAGCUACAAAAACAAUUUUUAAAAGUGCGCUACAAAUCCAAGAAAAAUUAAAAUGGAUCCAAAUAUCUUAAGAAUCAUGUGGUUACAUAAAAU
This 623-nucleotide long non-coding RNA is filed under the name Marmota monax (woodchuck). The record is from RNAcentral. Lineage: Eukaryota; Metazoa; Chordata; Mammalia; Rodentia; Sciuridae.